Molecule: long non-coding RNA, 424 nt
Filed under: Capra hircus (goat)
Lineage: Eukaryota; Metazoa; Chordata; Mammalia; Artiodactyla; Bovidae
Description: lncRNA (ENSCHIG00000007432.1)
Source: RNAcentral
AGAAAGCUGAAUCCAAGGAAGAACAGAAAAAGUUAACUGAGUUAUCCAGUGGCCUCUUCCAUCAGAAAAUACCAGAUACAAGACUCUGGAGGCAAGAAGCCUGUGAUGUGCAUUCUUCUGUCCAAAAGUUUUAUGCCCCUAUCUCCAGAGGUCAUCAUACUGCUUCCGUUACAAACCAGAACUUUCCUGGGGGCGAAACAAUGCUCUAUCAAGAUUCGGACAACUUUCAUUCCACGGUACUGUAAAGGAUCUUGCACCUGCGUAGAUGGCAUAAAAACAGAGGAAAAUCCUUCAAGUUUUCACCAUUGGAUAUGAUGUUAGACUGAGAAGAACUGUCUUAGAAGAAUGAGUUGAAUUGGAACGUGCUGGACAAAUGCUAUUUUAUGCAAGAAGUCUCUUGGAAGAUGAUCAGAUGGAAACUCAG